ACUCCGAGACCACCCACAGAACCGCCUCGGCGUCCUCUAUAUUCUCCCCAAAGGAAUCGAGCCGGGGUGCUCAUAAUCGUCUCCAAAUUCGCCGUUUCUUCUUCAACUCCGGCGACCAAAUUCUUCAAUUCCGGCCGCUCUCGUCCUCCUCCGACCAAACCGAGCCCGCCUUCAUCUUCCUGGUGCAUGUCGCCGGCGAUGUCUCGGCGAAUCUCCGGCCAUCCUUCUACCUCUCGCUGGUCCGUCACGCUAAGGCGCAGCUCCGACACCAGCCGCCUCGUCUCGGUUCGACCUUCCCCAUCGUCCCCGUGCAUGAUCUGCAAGUCAUGGCUGUUCUGGCCCGUGAGCUUCGCUUGGACUUGGUUAAGUUGUCGCGCACCAUCCUCUUAAUACGAUCUGUAUUAGCAGCGCAGUGGUUUGUCUCGUGAUCCAUCACGCAGUAGAUCAUGUGCUCAAAUCCCAGGUGCAGCGAUUAACCACAACCUUUUUGUUUCCCAGAUCCGUUGAUGGACUUUGAGCCAAUUUGAUCCGGUGCAACUUGCAGCCCAGCACGCCAGGCCGCAUCUCUUCGGACUAGAUCCGGCCCACCUCGCCAGGCGCGGCAGCAUUUGCUUCUUCUCGGAUAGGAACGCGAAGUGGUGUUGUGAGAUACGAC
Lolium rigidum is the source of this 655-nucleotide long non-coding RNA. RefSeq lists it as uncharacterized. The record is from RefSeq and is a predicted model, not a curated record. The transcript has 3 exons. NCBI's taxonomy places the organism in Eukaryota, Viridiplantae, Streptophyta, Magnoliopsida, Poales, Poaceae.